Molecule: ribosomal RNA, 254 nt
Filed under: uncultured bacterium
Lineage: Bacteria
Description: partial 16S ribosomal RNA
Rfam family: Bacterial small subunit ribosomal RNA
Source: RNAcentral
UACGUAGGGGGCGAGCGUUGUCCGGAGUUACUGGGCGUAAAGCGCGCGUAGGCGGUUUCUUAAGUCUGAGGUGAAAGGUUCAACGCUUAACGUGAACAGUGCCUUGGAUACUGGGAGACUUGAGUGUGGCAGAGGAUAGUGGAAUUCCUGGUGUAGCGGUGAAAUGCGUAGAUAUCAGGAGGAACACCCAUGGCGAAGGCAGCUAUCUGGGCUAACACUGACGCUGAGGUGCGAAAGCGUGGGGAGCGAACGGG